This 511-nucleotide ribosomal RNA is filed under the name uncultured bacterium. RNAcentral describes it as "bacterial SSU rRNA". It matches the Rfam family "Bacterial small subunit ribosomal RNA", at positions 30 to 518 of the family's 1533-position model. The record is from RNAcentral.
AUUGAACGCUGGAGGCGUGCUUAACACAUGCAAGUCGUGCGAGAAAGGGACUUCGGUCCUGAGUAGAGCGGCGCACGGGUGAGUAACGCGUGGGUAAUCUCCCUUGGUGAUCGGGAUAACAGCGGGAAACUGCUGCUAAUACCGGAUAAUCUUCAUGUUUAACUUCAUGGGGUAAAGGUGGCCUCUGCUUGCAAGCUACCACACCGAGAUGAGCCCGCGUCUCAUUAGCUAGUUGGUAGGGUAAUGGCCUACCAAGGCUACGAUGAGUAGCUGGUCUGAGAGGAUGACCAGCCACACUGGGACUGGAACACGGCCCAGACUCCUACGGGAGGCAGCAGUGGGGAAUAUUGCGCAAUGGGCGAAAGCCUGACGCAGCGACGCCUCGUGAAGGGAUGAAGGUCUUCGGAUCGUAAACCUCUGUCAAGAGGGAAGAAACCCUUGGAUUCGAAUAGGGUCCUUGGCUGACGGUACCUCAAAAGGAAGCACCGGCUAACUCCGUGCCAGCCGCUGC